GGGCCGUUAGCUCAGUUGGUAGAGCAGUUGACUUUUAAUCAAUUGGUCGCAGGUUCGAAUCCUGCACGACCCACCA
This 76-nucleotide transfer RNA is filed under the name Escherichia coli. RNAcentral describes it as "tRNA-Lys". It matches the Rfam family "tRNA". From Rfam's summary of the family: Transfer RNA (tRNA) molecules are approximately 80 nucleotides in length. Their secondary structure includes four short double-helical elements and three loops (D, anti-codon, and T loops). RNAcentral also lists the same sequence under 10 other names. The record is from RNAcentral. Lineage: Bacteria; Pseudomonadati; Pseudomonadota; Gammaproteobacteria; Enterobacterales; Enterobacteriaceae.